ACGCACGCUGGCGGCGUGCUUCACCCAUGCAAUUCGAACGGAAAGGCCUCUUUCGGGGGGUACUCGAGUGGCGAACGGGUGAGUAACACGUGAGUAACCUGCCCUUGACUUUGGGAUAACUUCAGGAAACUGGGGCUAAUACCGGAUAGGAGCUCCUGCUGCAUGGUGGGGGUUGGAAAGUUUCGGCGGUUGGGGAUGGACUCGCGGCUUAUCAGCUUGUUGGUGGGGUAGUGGCUUACCAAGGCUUUGACGGGUAGCCGGCCUGAGAGGGUGACCGGCCACAUUGGGACUGAGAUACGGCCCAGACUCCUACGGGAGGCAGCAGUGGGGAAUAUUGCACAAUGGGUGGAAGCCUGAUGCAGCAACGCCGUGUGCGGGAUGACGGCCUUCGGGUUGUAAACCGCUUUCGCUCAUGACGAAGCUUUGUGUGACGGUAGUGGGUAAAGAAGCACCGGCUAACUACGUG
Molecule: ribosomal RNA, 466 nt
Filed under: uncultured bacterium
Lineage: Bacteria
Description: partial 16S ribosomal RNA
Rfam family: Bacterial small subunit ribosomal RNA
Source: RNAcentral